This is a long non-coding RNA of Vidua macroura (Pin-tailed whydah), 502 nucleotides long. RefSeq lists it as uncharacterized. NCBI's taxonomy places the organism in Eukaryota, Metazoa, Chordata, Aves, Passeriformes, Viduidae. The transcript has 2 exons. The record is from RefSeq and is a predicted model, not a curated record.
UGACCUGCCGGGGCUCACCGGUUCCUCCCCAGUGCCUUCCCAGUUCAUCCCAGUUUGUACCAGUCCAUCCCAGUUCGUCCCAGUUUGUCCCAGUGCUGUAUGGAGCAUCGAGAGCCUACUGGGGAAACUGAGGCAGGCCGGCUGCAUCGGACCCGCCAGUUUGUCCCAGUUCAUCCCCAUCCAUCCCAGUUUGUCCCAGUUCAUCACAGCACUGUUUGGAGCAUUGAGAGCCCGCUGGGGAAACUGAGGCAGGCCGGCCGCAUCGGACCCGCCAGUUUGUCCCAGUUCAUCCCAGUUCAUCCCAGUGCUGUAUGGAGCAUUGAGAGCAUGCUGGGGAAACUGAGGCAGGCCGGCCGCAUCUGACCCGCCAGGGCUCACCAGUUCGUCCCAGUCCCUCCCAGUCCGUCCCAGUCCAUCCCAGUUCGUCCCAGUUCAUCCCAGUCUGGCCCAGUUCCCCCCAGUGCCUUCCCCCCACCUCAAUAAAGGCGUGGCCAGUCGAUGA